GUAGGUGGCAAGCGUUGUCCGGAAUUAUUGGGCGUAAAGCGCGCGCAGGCGGUCCUUUAAGUCUGAUGUGAAAGCCCACGGCUCAACCGUGGAGGGUCAUUGGAAACUGGGGGACUUGAGUACAGAAGAGGAAAGCGGAAUUCCAAGUGUAGCGGUGAAAUGCGUAGAGAUUUGGAGGAACACCAGUGGCGAAGGCGGCUUUCUGGUCUGUAGCUGACGCUGAGGCGCGAAGGCGUGGGGAGCAAACAGGGAUUAGAUACCCUGGUAGUCCACGCCGUAAACGAUGAGUGCUAAGUGUUAGGGGGUUUCCCGCCCCUUAGUGCUGCAGCUAACGCAUUAAGCACUCCGCCUGGGGAGUACGGCCGCAAGGCUG
This 373-nucleotide ribosomal RNA is filed under the name uncultured organism. Its description in RNAcentral is "partial 16S ribosomal RNA". It matches the Rfam family "Bacterial small subunit ribosomal RNA", at positions 527 to 896 of the family's 1533-position model. The record is from RNAcentral.